AAAGUAAAGUGUAAGAGCAACAGCAUUCCUGCACCAGGAAGCAAGGAACAGCUCCCGGGUGUUCAGACCAAAGGGCACAAUCCAUUCUCGUAAGUUACCAAAGAGGGACGGUGACUGGGUUGAAGAACAGAGAUCUGAUUCGCUUUGCUCCUGUCCCCAUGCAAUUUCAGUGAAUCACUAUAGUUACCAGUGUUGUGGGGCAUAAAUAACACUGCCCCCUUCCUCCUCCUGCCAUUUUGCAAUGAAGUUAUCAAAAAUCAGGGGUCUCACUCUGUCACUCAGGCUUGAGUGCAGGGGUCAUGGAUGUCUCUCUGUUCCCCUUCACAGAACAGAUGCAACUUAUGGCUCAUCAGGUGGCUUUUGGUGCAGACAACACUGUCUCCCCAUGUCUGACCUUGAGGCAGGAAGGUCCAGUGAUAAGGAACACUGGCUCUGGAGCUAGACUGCAUCACUUCAAAUCACAGCUCUGCUACUCUGCUACUUAGUAGCUGCAUGGCCUUGGCAAGUUAUUUACCCUCUCCAUGUCCCAGUAUCCUCUUCUGUAAAAUAAACUGGUUUAUGUGAAAUAUA
Symphalangus syndactylus (siamang) is the source of this 570-nucleotide long non-coding RNA. RefSeq lists it as uncharacterized. The record is from RefSeq and is a predicted model, not a curated record. NCBI's taxonomy places the organism in Eukaryota, Metazoa, Chordata, Mammalia, Primates, Hylobatidae.